UUUAGCGUUCGGGUUGUUAUCAACAAUCGCGUUACCCACCGCAUGCAGCAAGUGCGUUUUACCCAAACCGGUGCCGCCAUA
Molecule: antisense RNA, 81 nt
Filed under: Vibrio cholerae
Lineage: Bacteria; Pseudomonadati; Pseudomonadota; Gammaproteobacteria; Vibrionales; Vibrionaceae
Also listed under: 1 other name
Description: antisense RNA of dnaA mRNA
Rfam family: antisense RNA of dnaA mRNA
Source: RNAcentral